This 253-nucleotide ribosomal RNA is filed under the name uncultured bacterium. RNAcentral describes it as "partial 16S ribosomal RNA". It matches the Rfam family "Bacterial small subunit ribosomal RNA", at positions 524 to 776 of the family's 1533-position model. The record is from RNAcentral.
UACGGAGGGUGCAAACGUUGCUCGGAAUCAUUGGGCGUAAAGCGCACGUAGGCGGCGCGUUAAGUCGGGUGUGAAAGCCCUGGGCUCAACCCAGGAAGUGCAUUCGAAACUGGCGCGCUUGAAUAUGGAAGAGGGUCGCGGAAUUCCCGGUGUAGAGGUGAAAUUCGUAGAUAUCGGGAGGAACACCGGUGGCGAAGGCGGGUCUCUGGGCCGAUACUGACGCUGAGGAGCGAAAGCGUGGGGAGCGAACAGG